CUGGCUCAGAACGAACGCUGGCGGCGCGUCUUAAGCAUGCAAGUCGAACGGCAAGAGGUAGCAAUACCUCCUAGAGUGGCGGACUGGUGAGUAACACGUGGGUGACAUACCCUUCAGAUGGGGAUAGCUAUUAGAAAUAGUAGAUAAUACCGAAUACGAGCACAGGGGUUAGAGAUCUGUGAGGAAAGGAGCUAAGGCUCCGCUGAAGGAAUGGCCUGCGGCCCAUUAGCUAGUUGGUGAGGUAAGAGCCCACCAAGGCGAUGAUGGGUAUCCGGCCUUAGAGGGUGAACGGACACAUUGGGACUGAGAUACGGCCCAGACUCCUACGGGAGGCAGCAGCUAAGAAUAUUCCGCAAUGGACGAAAGUCUGACGGAGCGACGCCGCGUGGAUGAAGAAGGCCGGAAGGUUGUAAAAUCCUUUUGAAACUGAAGAAUAAGCGUUGUAGGGAAUGACAGCGUGGUGACAGUAGGUUUUGAAUAAGCAACGGCUAAUUACGUGCCAGCAGCCGC
This 510-nucleotide ribosomal RNA is filed under the name uncultured bacterium. RNAcentral describes it as "bacterial SSU rRNA". It matches the Rfam family "Bacterial small subunit ribosomal RNA", at positions 19 to 518 of the family's 1533-position model. The record is from RNAcentral.